This 241-nucleotide long non-coding RNA is filed under the name Elaeis guineensis (African oil palm). Its description in RNAcentral is "long non-coding RNA (EGUI_LNC062642)". Lineage: Eukaryota; Viridiplantae; Streptophyta; Magnoliopsida; Arecales; Arecaceae. The record is from RNAcentral.
GUCCUACAAAGGAUAACUUAGCUAUCUUUCCUCGAAGAUAAGAUUUACAAGCUGGAUACGACUCUGAAUUAAGAGAGCCAAGGAUCCCAUCCUUCUUUAGUCUGUUUAUCCUAUCCUCUCCAAUAUGGUCUAGUCUAUGGUGCCACAAGUACUUCUGGUUAAUUUUUUCUAUGGAUCUCUUCUGGCCUAUGACACUUACUAUUUACUCAUUUAGGUUCACAUUCACAUUAACAUGCAAGUG